CCCGAACCUCCUCCAUCCACGUGGGCCCACUUUAUCAAUUUUUUCGAUCGCUUUCUUCAUUGUGGAACAUUCUCUUUCCAGCUGACGCACCCGCGUCCUCAUGCUAUCCAUGUCUAGUCGCAGCACUUGAUNNNNNNNCACGUAUUGCUGCUGUCCUGUGCCUCCUCCGCCACCGCCGUAGCAGCAGCCGAGACUGCUCCCUCUUCUACUCCUUCCUGUUCAGCAAAAUCCUGCGGCGCCGCAUCUGCCGCAAUCAAUGUCCCGGCUAUAGCAUGGCGGAGUUGUAACUGCUCGAAAAACAAAACUUGAACCACCGCCCGAAGCGGAAGCCGCUCAUUCUGUGCCGCGUGCGUGCACGCUUCUAAAGUUAGCUUUUGACAGUCCAUCACUCCACAAAUCUUCUCCCUCUCUGCCUCUGAUAUCCAUGGAUGCGCCUUCAGAUAGACGUCGACGGCUCUGUAG
This 462-nucleotide unclassified non-coding RNA is filed under the name Hevea brasiliensis (rubber tree). The record is from RNAcentral. Lineage: Eukaryota; Viridiplantae; Streptophyta; Magnoliopsida; Malpighiales; Euphorbiaceae.